RNAcentral lists this ribosomal RNA (497 nucleotides) under uncultured bacterium. Its description in RNAcentral is "partial 16S ribosomal RNA". It matches the Rfam family "Bacterial small subunit ribosomal RNA", at positions 28 to 507 of the family's 1533-position model. The record is from RNAcentral.
GAUGAACGCUGGCGGCGUGCCUAAUACAUGCAAGUCGAGCGAACAGACGAGGAGCUUGCUCCUCUGACGUUAGCGGCGGACGGGUGAGUAACACGUGGAUAACCUACCUAUAAGACUGGGAUAACUUCGGGAAACCGGAGCUAAUACCGGAUAAUAUAUUGAACCGCAUGGUUCAAUAGUGAAAGACGGUUUUGCUGUCACUUAUAGAUGGAUCCGCGCCGCAUUAGCUAGUUGGUAAGGUAACGGCUUACCAAGGCAACGAUGCGUAGCCGACCUGAGAGGGUGAUCGGCCACACUGGAACUGAGACACGGUCCAGACUCCUACGGGAGGCAGCAGUAGGGAAUCUUCCGCAAUGGGCGAAGGCCUGACGGAGCAACGCCGCGUGAGUGAUGAAGGUCUUCGGAUCUUAAAACUCUGUUAUUAGGGAAGAACAAAUGUGUAAGUAACUAUGCACGUCUUGACGGUACCUAAUCAGAAAGCCACGGCUAACUACGUG